Non-coding RNA from Postia placenta Mad-698-R, 105 nucleotides. The record is from Rfam. NCBI's taxonomy places the organism in Eukaryota, Fungi, Basidiomycota, Agaricomycetes, Polyporales, Adustoporiaceae.
GGUGAGAUGGCCGAGCGGUCUAAGGCGCCAGACUAAGGUGGCGUGAAUCCACACUGAGGGAUAAUCUGGUCCGAAAGGGCGUGGGUUCGAAUCCCACUCUCAUCA